This is an RNA transcript of Physcomitrium patens, 1982 nucleotides long. RefSeq lists it as uncharacterized. The record is from RefSeq and is a predicted model, not a curated record. Lineage: Eukaryota; Viridiplantae; Streptophyta; Bryopsida; Funariales; Funariaceae.
CUGUUUGAAGCUGUGAUUUGUUUUGUGAGAGGGGUCAGACGCAGUUUUCGUAGUGGUGUCGCAGCUCUGGCGUGGCGAUGGCGGGGACGACCUUGGUGCCCCCUGGGCGGCAACACAAGCGCACCGUGUCCGACCAGCAGAAGCGCCGAGAGCUUGCCUUGCAGCGCCAGAAGCAAGGGCGUCGUGACUUACAACACCAUGCCCGCCAGCUUGCCCUCAGCGCUCUGAACGAAGUUGGUGACGUUAGCGGAGAGCAGGAAGAGGAGCCUGCAGUGUAUGAGCUCAAUGUUCCACGCGCAGCAUCAGAAAACGUGGCGGCUGAUUACAACGAACAAGAUGAUACAGAGGCGAGUAUGGAAGAUGCAGAACGCAGCCCAGGGAGUAAGCGCAAAACACUGUUAGAAGGCGCAAAUCUGAAGGGGUUAAGAGCGAGAGAGUUCUUUGCUCGACAGUUGAUGUUACCCGAGUGGAUGGUGGAUAUCCCCUCUUAUCUUAAAAAGGAUUGGUUCGUUAUGCCAAGGCCAGAAGGCCAGCGGUGUCUUGUUAUAUCAGCCAAUGGCAUUACUCUGAGUCGUCAGCGAAAUGGUCGAAUCUUGCAUUCCUUCCCUUCUGCCUUACCCAAUGGUGCUCGAACGAAGGAAGUGGCGGCAGGAUCCCAUGUGUACUGUAUCCUGGACUGCAUCUUCCAUGAGCCUGAUAAAACGUACUAUGUCAUCGACAUGAUGUGCUGGCGUGGCUACUCGCUGUUCGAUUGUACUGCAGAGUUUCGAUUCUUCUGGAUGACUACUAAAUUGGCUGAAACUGGGGCUCUUGGUGCUCCAUCUGCUCAUCAUCACUACCAAUUCAGUGUUGUCCCUGUUUAUGAGUGCAACGUAGCUGCCUUACAAGCAGUUUACAGUGGGCCAGUACCGUUCCAAAGAGAUGGAAUACUCUUUUAUAACAGACAUGCGCUUUAUGAACUAGGUCUCACGCCAUUGGUGGUCGUAUGGAAAGAUGCUCAAUGUAGCCAGUAUUUGUUAGACACUGAUAGCCAGGGAAAUGUGCCUACUUAUCAGCAGGUGGUGCUAGAAUUGAGGAGUGAUGGCUCUGUAGUCACUUGUGAUGACCCGCCUGUGAUUUUUGGAACACUCGCUCCUGAGUUUCUUGAGCAGAAUGCUCGACACCUGAAGCCUGGAAUGCUUAUACGAUUUGCGAUUGGCGAUCAGGGACUGAGCUUGGUAGAGGGGAAACCUGUAGUUGCUGACAUUCAUUUUGAAGGCAUUGCAAAUAAGAAUCGGGCACGUCGUGCAGAUAGCUGCACAAAGAUUCUCUUCCAGUAUGCUGCCCGACAUGGUGCAUUGACAAUAAACGACAUAGUAGCGGCCAUUGAAACCUCCGAUGAGGAAGGCGACACAUCUAUGGGCUAGAUCGAAGACCAGACAGUUAUGAAAGAGCUGCGCCAUUGAUAGGAUUUAUGCUCGGCGGUGAGAUUCCGAUCAUUCUGCCCACUUCGACUUUAGGUUAUGCGCGAAGAGUUAUCAUGCACAUAGUCUGCCUACAGCAGAUCAAGGUUUCGCAUUGUAUUAUAGCGUGCUAACUUUCAAAUAGAUUGAAGCAGCACACUUGAAAUUAGAACUCUUAGAUAGAUUUUGCAUUUUAGACGCAUCCUUUUAAUUGAGGAUCUUCUGAUUGUGUGAAUCUGGAAUAUUACGACCUGCUAAUGCUAUAGCUUUAAGUAGAAAAUUCGAAGUCCUUAAAUGUAUGCUAGGUUCAGAAAGAUGCGCCAACAGUAGAUUGGUAUAUGGUUGAAUUGUAUUUGGUGGCAUGACAUUCUGAUGUCAGGUUCAUCCUGAUGCAAAGCAUAUAUUUCGAAAUGUGAAGAACGUGUGUCGAGGUAUAUGACGUGAUGCCCGUUCAAUGUACCAGUAUUAAAAAGAACUGUUUUUUUCUGUGAUUCCUAUGACAUGGAAAAGUAAAAUGUGAAAUUGGGGGCUUUCUCUUAU